This 300-nucleotide ribosomal RNA is filed under the name uncultured Bacillus sp. RNAcentral describes it as "partial 16S ribosomal RNA". The stretch from base 59 to 300 matches the Rfam family "Bacterial small subunit ribosomal RNA", at positions 554 to 795 of the family's 1533-position model. Lineage: Bacteria; Bacillati; Bacillota; Bacilli; Caryophanales; Bacillaceae. The record is from RNAcentral.
GGAGAUGGAGGGGGAUGAGGGCCGUGAGUAGGGGGGGUGGAGACGGUGAUCGCGAAUGCUGGGCGUGAAGCGCACGGAGGCUGGCUGUGAAGGCGGAUGAGAAAUCCCCGGGGUCAACGUUGGAACUGCAUGCGAAACUGGCAGGCUAGAGUCUUGUAGAGGGGGGUAGAAUUCCAGGUGUAGCGGUGAAAUGCGUAGAGAUCUGGAGGAAUACCGGUGGCGAAGGCGGCCCCCUGGACAAAGACUGACGCUCAGGUGCGAAAGCGUGGGGAGCAAACAGGAUUAGAUACCCGAGUAGUC